ACUCCAAAGCUCGAAUAUCUUGUAUACGAGUUUGAGAGAUCGGUAGGCAAGCAACCCAUCCUAGUCUCCUACCGACUGAUUUCCACAGCAAACGAAAAGUACCAUGGGUUGGGAUGGUCAUUACAAGAUUGCAAUCUAGUCCAUGAUAUGAUUGCAAAGUAUGUAUCAAGACUGACGGAUGGAUGCGCAAUCUACAAGGCUUUGGAUUGGACAUAAUCCGUCCAAAUUGUGUCGAGCCGUCGACAGUAAAACAGGCGCU
This 259-nucleotide long non-coding RNA is filed under the name Erythranthe guttata (spotted monkey flower). RNAcentral's name for it is "long non-coding RNA (EGUT_LNC001245)". Lineage: Eukaryota; Viridiplantae; Streptophyta; Magnoliopsida; Lamiales; Phrymaceae. The record is from RNAcentral.